Molecule: non-coding RNA, 73 nt
Organism: Trichonephila clavata
Lineage: Eukaryota; Metazoa; Arthropoda; Arachnida; Araneae; Nephilidae
Source: the annotation of a GenBank genome assembly
GUUCCUGUAGCGCAAUGGAUAGCACGUUGAACUUCUAAUGCAAAGGUCGUGGGUUAGAGUCCCACCUGGGAUG